RNAcentral lists this ribosomal RNA (550 nucleotides) under aff. Alternaria sp. Its description in RNAcentral is "eukaryotic LSU rRNA". The stretch from base 188 to 341 matches the Rfam family "5.8S ribosomal RNA". The record is from RNAcentral. Lineage: Eukaryota; Fungi; Ascomycota; Dothideomycetes; Pleosporales; Pleosporaceae.
GGUGACCUGCGGAGGGACAUUACACAAAUAUGAAGGCGGGCUGGAACCUCUCGGGGUUACAGCCUUGCUGAAUUAUUCACCCUUGUCUUUUGCGUACUUCUUGUUUCCUUGGUGGGUUCGCCCACCACUAGGACAAACAUAAACCUUUUGUAAUUGCAAUCAGCGUCAGUAACAAAUUAAUAAUUACAACUUUCAACAACGGAUCUCUUGGUUCUGGCAUCGAUGAAGAACGCAGCGAAAUGCGAUAAGUAGUGUGAAUUGCAGAAUUCAGUGAAUCAUCGAAUCUUUGAACGCACAUUGCGCCCUUUGGUAUUCCAAAGGGCAUGCCUGUUCGAGCGUCAUUUGUACCCUCAAGCUUUGCUUGGUGUUGGGCGUCUUGUCUCUAGCUUUGCUGGAGACUCGCCUUAAAGUAAUUGGCAGCCGGCCUACUGGUUUCGGAGCGCAGCACAAGUCGCACUCUCUAUCAGCAAAGGUCUAGCAUCCAUUAAGCCUUUUUUUCAACUUUUGACCUCGGAUCAGGUAGGGAUACCCGCUGAACUUAAGCAUAUCA